RNAcentral lists this unclassified non-coding RNA (253 nucleotides) under uncultured Caryophanales bacterium. RNAcentral describes it as "uncultured Bacillales bacterium contains 16S-23S intergenic spacer region". It matches the Rfam family "Bacterial small subunit ribosomal RNA", at positions 524 to 776 of the family's 1533-position model. Lineage: Bacteria; Bacillati; Bacillota; Bacilli; Caryophanales. The record is from RNAcentral.
UACGUAAGUGGCAAGCGUUGUCCGGAAUUAUUGGGCGUAAAGCGCGCGCAGGUGGUUCUUUAAGUCUGAUGUGAAAGCCCACGGCUCAACCGUGGAGGGUCAUUGGGAACUGGCAGACUUGAGUGCAGAAGAGGAGAGUGGAAUUCCAUGUGUAGCGGUGAAAUGCGCAGAGAUAUGGAGGAACACCAGUGGCGAAGGCGGCUCUCUGGUCUGCAACUGACGCUGAGGUGCGAAAGCGUGGGGAGAGAACAGG